RNAcentral lists this ribosomal RNA (497 nucleotides) under uncultured bacterium. Its description in RNAcentral is "partial 16S ribosomal RNA". It matches the Rfam family "Bacterial small subunit ribosomal RNA", at positions 28 to 507 of the family's 1533-position model. The record is from RNAcentral.
GAUGAACGCUGGCGGCGUGCCUAAUACAUGCAAGUCGAGCGAACGGACGAGAAGCUUGCUUCUCUGAUGUUAGCGGCGGACGGGUGAGUAACACGUGGAUAACCUACCUAUAAGACUGGGAUAACUUCGGGAAACCGGAGCUAAUACCGGAUGAUAUUUUGAACCGCAUGGUUCAAAAGUGAAAGACGGUCUUGCUGUCACUUAUAGAUGGAUCCGCGCUGCAUUAGUUAGUUGGUAAGGUAACGGCUUACCAAGGCAACGAUGCAUAGCCGACCUGAGAGGGUGAGCGGCCACACUGGAACUGAGACACGGUCCAGACUCCUACGGGAGGCAGCAGUAGGGAAUCUUCCGCAAUGGGCGAAAGCCUGACGGAGCGACGCCGCGUGAGUGAUGAAGGUCUUCGGAUCGUAAAAAUCUGUUAUUAGGGAAGAACAUAUGUGUAAGUAACUGUGCACAUCUUGACGGUACCUAAUCAGAAAGCCACGGCUAACUACGUG